Molecule: non-coding RNA, 960 nt
Organism: Aegilops tauschii subsp. strangulata
Lineage: Eukaryota; Viridiplantae; Streptophyta; Magnoliopsida; Poales; Poaceae
Source: RefSeq, a predicted model, not a curated record
UAUAUUCCUAAGUUUUGGUACUAAUUCUUCCCUAGUUAGUUAUUACCACUUGAUCUCUCUGGGUGUCUGCUGACUGCACUAUAUGUUGAUUUGUAGCUCUCUGGACUUUCCAUUUUUAAGCAAUGCAUUAGUAUCUCUCUGAUUUUAGUUCCAAAGUGGUCAUUCAUUAUAUCUGCUGUGUACAUGUGUUAAGUUACCAAUCUCUAGUGUUAUGCUGCUUUUUUUUUCUUUCGGAAAAAGAUAAGGAGUCUUCAUUAAUCAGAUACAUAUAUCGCAAAGGAGUCUGAAUUUGGGGGCGAGGUCAAGGACAAAACUUUCUUUUGUUGCCUUCCGAGUCCAGUACAACCAGUGAAAAGCUAGCAGUUAACCAACACACAAAUGAAGUUCAAUUUCAUCCAAGGUCAUGUUCAGCUAGCAGAAACUGUGUUUGGCACACAUCGGAGGUCAUGUACUGCAUAUGUUCAAAUUACAGAACAAGCAAGGAGUAUCAUCCAAUUGGAUGAUCCGAUGACAGUUUCAAUUUCAGUAACUGAAACUGAAAUUGAUGAUCUGCACCACCAAAAUGCUGGAGCCAAGAGGCUGGUCGCGCGCCAGCAGCUCAGGCGUUAAUGCUCACCGUGGACGCAGCACUCACCGCGGUAGCGGCAGCGUGGCAAGCGGUCGAUCGGGCGUCCAUGGCGUCUCGGUGAGCUCGUAGUGACAUGGUAGUGUUGCUAGUGGCAAGACGGAUUGCUGCUUUCACAGGAAGAUCUUGUUUGUUCUGUGUUGGGUUGUUUGGCGAUGCAUUGUUCAGAUGUAGUCUUCCUAACGUUAUCAAUGUAGACCGUGCUAUCAUUAUUUGGAGAAACUUGUAUCCUCUAUUCACGCAUAGCCUGUUGGUCUGAUGACAAGUUCUUGGUUCUGGAUUACCGGAAGUCUCUAACUGAGCCAUAUGAACUACAGUGCUUUUCUUGAGUUUCU